UACGUAGGUGGCGAGCGUUGUCCGGAUUUACUGGGCGUAAAGGGAGCGUAGGCGGACUUUUAAGUGAGAUGUGAAAUACUCGGGCUCAACUUGAGUGCUGCAUUUCAAACUGGAAGUCUAGAGUGCAGGAGAGGAGAAUGGAAUUCCAUGUGUAGCGGUGAAAUGCGUAGAUAUAUGGAGGAACACCGGUGGCGAAAGCGGCUCUCUGGCCUGUAACUGACACUGAGGCUCGAAAGCGUGGGGAGCAAACAGG
RNAcentral lists this ribosomal RNA (253 nucleotides) under uncultured bacterium. RNAcentral describes it as "partial 16S ribosomal RNA". It matches the Rfam family "Bacterial small subunit ribosomal RNA", at positions 524 to 776 of the family's 1533-position model. The record is from RNAcentral.